UUUCCGCCAGCUCUCGCGGGGUCUUUGUACGUGGAAUAUUUCCGGGUAAAUUUUUGCCAGCUUUGGGCUCGCAGUCAUGUAGCGCCGACACAGUAAAUCCUGCUUUGAGAAGAUUCGUUGCCACUUUUUCACCAACUGUACCCAAACCAAUGAUUCCAAUCGCUUCGUUUGAAGUAGAUUCAAUGCCGUACAAGCCGACUAGAAUUUUUUACACUUAUGGGUUUGAUCUCAAUUCUAGUAAAUGCCGGACCAGAAAAAAAUGAAUGUAACAAGGGAUGCAACCUAGGAACAAGGGGAUUUUUACAACGUUAGAAACACUCUUCCCUUGGCGUAGCGUUAUCCAGGCAUCGUACAACUGAGCAUGAUGUAAAAAUUUCUGCAGGAUGUAUCAAAAGUGGACGCUUUCAUAUCUAAAUUUGGCAAAUAUCCCGUUGCAGUAAUU
Long non-coding RNA from Dendronephthya gigantea, 442 nucleotides. RefSeq lists it as uncharacterized. Lineage: Eukaryota; Metazoa; Cnidaria; Anthozoa; Malacalcyonacea; Nephtheidae. The transcript is spliced from 3 exons. The record is from RefSeq and is a predicted model, not a curated record.